This is a non-coding RNA of Macaca mulatta (Rhesus monkey), 272 nucleotides long. The record is from RefSeq and is a predicted model, not a curated record. NCBI's taxonomy places the organism in Eukaryota, Metazoa, Chordata, Mammalia, Primates, Cercopithecidae.
UUCCAGAAAACGAGUGUGCAAGAAGUAUGUUGUAACUGAAGUGGCGUACUGCCUGCCACCCAAGAGGUUGCUCUGUAAGUGUGCCUUUCACCUCCUGCCAUGAUUCUGAGGCCUCCCUGGCCAUGUGGAACUGGAAAAUCUGGGUGCUUGGAAAGACACCAGAAGCACAUACACAGAAGAAAGAUCGUAUGAAGACACAACAAGAAGGUGACUAGCUGCAAGCCAAGAAGAGAGGCCUCCGAAGAAACCCAAUGUACUAGCACCUUGAUCUU